CAUAAAUGCUAGAGGAAGGCUUACUACAUUAAAAUCUCUAAGACCUAUCUUGGCAUGGGUGCUUCUUGCUUAUAAAGCAUAAGUCUGAAUCGGUUGAAAUAUUUAAACAAUUCUAUAAUGAGGUAGAAAAAUAAACUGCAAAGAUUAGUACUCAUCGAUCAGAUCGAUGAAGUGAAUACCCUUUACAGUAAAUUUUUUGAUAUGUCUUCAAGAGAAUUGGAUUCUCUUUCAAUAGAUC
RNAcentral lists this long non-coding RNA (238 nucleotides) under Elaeis guineensis (African oil palm). Its description in RNAcentral is "long non-coding RNA (EGUI_LNC060888)". Lineage: Eukaryota; Viridiplantae; Streptophyta; Magnoliopsida; Arecales; Arecaceae. The record is from RNAcentral.